Molecule: long non-coding RNA, 1331 nt
Filed under: Ficedula albicollis (Collared flycatcher)
Lineage: Eukaryota; Metazoa; Chordata; Aves; Passeriformes; Muscicapidae
Description: lncRNA (ENSFALG00000025238.1)
Source: RNAcentral
UGGAUGAUGGAUGAUGGAUGGAUGGAUGAUGGAUGAUGGAUGGAUGAUGGAUGAUGGAUGGAUGGAUGAUGGAUGAUGGAUGGAUGAUGGAUGGAUGGAUGGAUGUCUCACCAGUCCCACACCAUAUCAAACCCAAAAGAGGAGACAGAAGAUCCCUUUGGCCGUGUUUUCCAGCUUAAGAAAACUCCUGAAGCUACAAGGAGGGGUCGAGGUCUGAGUUCUUGGUCAGAACUGGCACCAGAAGCUUUGCACUCAGCCCUCCUGGGCACAUGGAGCCCUUCCAGCUGCCAGCUGUGGGAAUCAGCUCAUGCUGAAGAUGCUCCAUCUCCUGCUGGCUCCCUCCAGCCCUGCUGCCACACCCGGGGAUAUGGAGCCACAGGAUCCUCCAGCAUCCAAACUGCUCCAGGCCUUCCAUUAUCCACACCUCUGCAAGGAGAUUGCUCAGCUCAGCAGAUCUGAAAUCUCCAUGCUGACAGAUGGGAUGUGACGUGACAGGAGCAGCACAGCUGGCAGAGAGGAGACAUCCCUUCCCUUCCUGAAACCUCCCAAGUGCUCCUCAGUAACCCCAGUGCUCGGAAAGCUCUGUGGUUCCUGCAGGAAUCAUCUCCCGGGUGGAUGUUUGGUUCCUCAGGGGAAGGAGGCAGCAGCUGUGUGUCAGCACAGCCAUUGCACAACCCCCCAGGCUGGGAAGAGCUGGUGGAUCCAGCUGAAAGAGGAAUUUUGGAUCACUGGAAUCUUGCUGUCAGCACUGGGCUGUGGCCAGGUUGCCAUGGGACACCUGUGCCUUUGGGGUUUGGGUUGUGCAGGGAAUCAAGAUGCCAAGGCUCUGGUGAGCAGCAACAGCCACGGGGAGAGCGUGGAGCCCAUGUGAGUGCCCAGGGUCAGGGUGGGGGUGCCUGGGGGUUCCCUGUGCCGGGGCAGGGCAGGGGGUGCCAGGGAUGGAUCCCUGUGACAGGGCAGGGGGUGCCAGGGAUGGAUCCCUGUGACAGGGCAGGGGGUGCCAGGGAUGGAUCCCUGUGACAGGGCAGGGGGUGCCAGGGAUGGAUCCCUGUGACAGGGCAGGGGGUGCCAGGGAUGGAUCCCUGUGACAGGGCAGGGGGUGCCAGGGAUGGAUCCCUGUGACAGGGCAGGGGGUGCCAGGGAUGGAUCCCUGUGACAGGGCAGGGGGUGCCAAGGGGUGCCGGGGAUGGAUCCCUGUGCCAGGCCAGGGGGUGCCAGGGAUGGAUCCCUGUGCCAGGGCAGGGGGGGGGGGGGGGGGGGGGGGGGGGGGGGGGGGGGGGGGGGGGGGGGGGGGGGGGGGGGGGGGGGGGGGGGGGGGGGGGGGGGGGGGG